RNAcentral lists this ribosomal RNA (336 nucleotides) under Triticum aestivum (bread wheat). RNAcentral's name for it is "partial small subunit ribosomal RNA". The record is from RNAcentral. Lineage: Eukaryota; Viridiplantae; Streptophyta; Magnoliopsida; Poales; Poaceae.
AUGCUCAAAUUUGCCCCUGUGACGUCAGUUGCACUUAUAGAAAUAUCCUUCUGUGUCGUUACCAUCCAGUCAAAGGCCUUUGACCGUCAACAAGACGUUUUCUGGACAUUUCUACCCCUUCCUCCAUAUGUCACUGUCAUGUGGGACCCACUCACAAAAAAUAAUAAAAAGUAUAAGCUCUCUCUCUUCCUCUCUCUGCCUGUCUCACUUACACAUGGGACCGAAAUGAAAAAAAUAUCAAUUUCUCAUGCGGUCCACAAGUCAUUAUUGUCUUAUUUUCUGAAAUGGUAUUCACUUAAUUAUUUCAGGGGUGGGCCCUCUAGUCAGCGCCUCUAA